Homarus americanus (American lobster) is the source of this 170-nucleotide long non-coding RNA. RefSeq lists it as uncharacterized. The transcript is spliced from 2 exons. The record is from RefSeq and is a predicted model, not a curated record. NCBI's taxonomy places the organism in Eukaryota, Metazoa, Arthropoda, Malacostraca, Decapoda, Nephropidae.
GAGGAGCUCAGUACAGGUGAAAACCCCGAGGAGUGUACUGCACGUGAUCCCUUUAACGCAGUGCCAGUGUAACAAGGAGGGAAACUUUCGCAUUAAGGAACAGAUGUUGGAAGAACGCGGGAGACAGGACGGGAAAUAAAACCUCCGAACAACAAACGCAGGAAAUAGAA